Balaenoptera acutorostrata (minke whale) is the source of this 1370-nucleotide long non-coding RNA. RefSeq lists it as uncharacterized. The record is from RefSeq and is a predicted model, not a curated record. The transcript is spliced from 6 exons. Lineage: Eukaryota; Metazoa; Chordata; Mammalia; Artiodactyla; Balaenopteridae.
GGCGCCGCUGCCACCGCCGCCCGCCGGGCUCUUGGCGCUGCCGUUGGCCGAUCGGUUCUUCCCCAGUAACUCGGGCCCUUUCUCCAUCAUGCCGGGCAUGGUAGAAGAGGGGAGGGGGAAAGAACUGGGGCCUGAUUCCCUGGAGAGACUGAGGCUUCCGAGAUGAGUUCCCAGUGCCGAGCAAUACAGCUGUAUAUUGCUAAAAGUUGGACUCUUUUGCCAUGUGUAUGUAUUACUGUUUCGAGGAAAUAAAUGUUUAAAGAAUCAACAGACAAAACACAGGGGAAGAAACCAGUAAUGAGAAAGGAGCUGAAGAAACAAGAGCAGAGAGAGAUUAACUGAUGGAGCAAGACUUUGAAGAAUGAAGGAGCGACAAGGACAAGGUGGCUGGAUUGGUCUUGACCAAGAGGCAGUACACUUCAUCCUCUGAGACUAGAGAAAGCUAAAAAGGAGAUACUUGGAGGCAUGCUCCUUGAAAGAAUAUAGAACCUACCUCAAGUCCCUUACCUCCCAGUCCAUCUUUAACCUGAGGACACAGGAGACCUUCAUGGGAAAGAGGGGAGGAUUACAAGGAAAAGAACAAAUGGUAAUUCUGGAAGGUGAAGGAUAAUGGGAAGACAAGAAUUCACCCUGUAUGUGUUCAAAUGAAAGUUCUGAGAACUUUGGUAAUGAACAAAGAAGAAAGACUUUUGAAUAACUUUCCAGAUGUGUUCCAGGCAAUUGUGAUAAAGAAAGGGGAUUUUGCUGAAGUUUUAAGAACUUCUGAACAAAUAGAAUAUGAAAAUGCCAGUAUUGAAAUUAAUGCAAGAAACUCUCUGCAUGGAAUCCCACUAUGAAACUAAAGAAGCCAAAAGGGAACUGUAAUAUCUCUUUUGAAAGAAUUAGAGAAACAGCUUGCUGUCAACAAAAAGAUCACAACCCAUGGAAAAGAUAGCUAUUAAAAAUAUGUCAUUAAAGUCAACAAGAGAGAGACAGAGAGAGACAGAGACAAAGAUCAUUUGGAGAUGGAGUAAAAAGAAAAUAUCUGGAGUUAGGUAAUAACCAAUAUGUCCUCUUCCAACUAGUGUAGAAUUAGAAAGAGCUUUCUCAGCAACUGGAAAAAUGUGCACAAAAAUAAGUUCACUAUCUAAUAAAAACCAAUUGGCACUUAAAGAAACAUCUUUCUUAAAAAAAAAAAAGAUAUCAUAUUUCAUCUUCUAUUUUUCAUGAUUAAUUACAUUUUCUUUAUUUCAUGUAGUGUGUAUAUUAGUUUGUAACACUUCAUUUGUUUUACCUGCCAACCACUGAUAUUGGUAAUGAUUUAUAUUUAAUGUUUAAAUUUUUGUAAUUUUUCAUUUUACUUAAUGUAUGAUUUUAAAAUUUAAACUGCA